AGUGGUCAGGGAUGAUGGGAAUUGUAGUCCCUAAACAUCUGUAGGGCCGAGUUUGCUUAUGCUUGCACUAGGCCACUGGAAGUAGUACAAUUCUCAUCAUCCUUGACCACU
Molecule: non-coding RNA, 111 nt
Organism: Podarcis lilfordi (Lilford's wall lizard)
Lineage: Eukaryota; Metazoa; Chordata; Lepidosauria; Squamata; Lacertidae
Source: the annotation of a GenBank genome assembly